Tympanuchus pallidicinctus (lesser prairie-chicken) is the source of this 5538-nucleotide long non-coding RNA. RefSeq lists it as uncharacterized. The record is from RefSeq and is a predicted model, not a curated record. NCBI's taxonomy places the organism in Eukaryota, Metazoa, Chordata, Aves, Galliformes, Phasianidae. The transcript has 2 exons.
CCGACCCGACCGGCGGCGCUGGGGCCGCUCUCGGCGGGAAGGGCGAAGUGAGGCAGACCAGGCGGGCGGGGGGCGCGGGGCCGUCAUCCGCUGCGCUCCUCGGGAGCCCCUCCUUUAGGGCCGUCGUUUUACGCGGCCGUCGGAUGGUCGGUUUGUUCAGAAAACCGUCCGUUCUGGCCGCGAGCACGUGAGGUCGGUUGUGGAUGAGAUCGGGGAGGUCAUCCUUGCGCUUUCUCUCCCGGUGGCACGCCGUGCUCGGGGAGAGCUGGCCAACCAGCUGGCCGCGAUCAGGGCAGGGUGAAAGCACGGCGGAAAGCAGAACGCGGUGGCCCCGCGGCUGUCCCGGCACAAAUACGGGGCUGCGGGUGUCGUGCACUGCGGGCGCACGCCGUCAGGAAUAGCAGCGGCACUCGCUCUGUGUUACAGUUCCCGGGAGUUCGCUUUUUUUGUUUUUUUCUUUUUUUUUGUUUUUUCUCCCGAGUCCUAAUAGAUACUGGGAGAGAAACCUGUGACGAGAGUUUGCAAGAGUGCUAUAAGUGGUGUACGGAACGCUGUACAGGAGAAUGCUUUCCUCCUUCCCAAAAACGCCUUGGGAAAAGUAAUUUCUCAAGUAAUUGGUAAUUGCUACCAGGUACUUAGUGAAAAUUUAUCUUCUCGUGGUUGGGAUUAAGAAAAUCUUUCUAAAAUUCCGGGGGUGGAUGGUGAAUCUCUGAUGGAUUAAAAGAGCUGCCUGAGGCAGUGUCACAUUUCCAGGAGGAGGGGAGGGGAACAAAAGUGCUGUGGAUUUCGGUGAGGAUUUGGAGAUGGGGAGAUGAAGCAUCACAAAAUUUGCUGUGCCUCAGCGGGGCACGGGGUGGAGAUAGCGGUUCAAACCCAGAUCCCUCAAAGCAAAGGGUUCCCACGAUGCAGCCUCUGUGAAACGCAAAGCGGAGCGGCAGUUCCUACAAUACAAUUCACUGGUGUGUGAGAUCCUCGCCUGUCAGCGUUUGUCAGCUGACUGCUGCCUCGCACUCGUCUGCACUGCAGUUUCUCAACCGUUUGAAAACUGUACUGCUCUUAAAUGCUUGGCGGUGUAGAUUCUUUCAUAUUGAAUCUUUCUUCUAAACGUUUAAACUAGAACGUGUUGCAGUGAGCUUACAUUCCACGUGUAAGGAAGGAGACUUGUUGCAGCCAGGAGCGUAGCAUUCAUCCGGGAAUGUUUUAAAGCAUGUCGGGAUGCACUGGGGUACUUAGAAAAUGUGUGAAGAACUGCAUGAUAAGGAGCCAUAGGUCUCUGCAGUAGAAUGCAAAGAUAAUCUGCGCUUGAGUGCAAUGGCUAAUCUAGAAUUGCUAAUAAAAUUGAUAGAGAAUCAUAAAAUAAUUUAGAUUGGAAGGAACCGCUGGACUUCAAAGCAGGACUGGUCUCCGUUACAUUGGGUUGCUCAGGGACAACGUCUCAGCCUCUCCCGGACUGUUUACUCAGCAAACCUUUAGUGACGUAGCUCUUCCCAAAUAACCUCACUAAUUCCUUGCUUUGUCAGCCCGAUACGAGAGAUUCCACCUCUGUUCCAUGCACUCAGCAAUCAAACUGCUGUGGCUGAUUAAGGUGGUCCGUAGUGCCUCUGUGAUACCACAAUUUAAGUUGCAUGGGUGAAUUUGGUUCUUUCUACUGAAUGUCUUUGUGAACAUAGGUUUCACCUGUUAAUUUUCUCUUAACAUUUAACACAAAAAAAUUUAAAACCUCUUACCUUCAUUGCAGAAGUUUUUAUUUUCAGACUUCUUUGUUGCAAAUGAAGUUUUAUGUAGAUGUUGGGACUAAAUAUUUGAAAAAAAUCAUUCUGACAUGCUGUGGCAAGAAUGUGUUUAUAGUAACAUUAAUUCACUGUUUCUUCAUCAGCAGUUUUUUACUUCCCCUGUCAAACCCGCACACCGCUGAGGUUUAUAGCUGGAAAUAAUCACUGAUGUGCAGCUGGUGGACAUUUUUAACAUGCGCUUUCCCCCUACAAUCUUGUGAGAGUCAGUAGCUUUUACUGCCAAAGUCCAUAUAUUCAGACAUUAACAUCAACUGCCCAAGGAGGUUGUGGAUGCUCCAUCCCUGUUGGCAUUCAAGGCCAGGCUGGAUGUGGCUCUGGGCAGCCUGGUCUGAUGGUUGGUGAUCCUGCACAUAGUAGGGGGGUUGAAACUACAUGAUCACUGUGGUCCUUUUCAAUCCAGGCCAUUCUAUGAUUCUGUUAUUAACGAAUAUCUAUUUCCUUUUCCAUGCUUUGACCAGACAGUGCCAGAGAGAACUCUUCACUGCUUAACUGCCCCGGUCCUGUAGAUAGCACAGCUGUUUUAUUCAGUCUGAAAUCCAAUUCUCCAGCUCCAGCUUUCAGCUUUCUUGUUUCUCUGAUAAUCCUUUGGUUCUCUCCGCUUCCUUCUCUUCUAUUAGAGAAAGACCUACAAAUCUCCCACGGUUCAUUGACAAAAAAUCAUAAAGUGAUGUAGCUUCCUGUAAAUGAAGAGCUCUCAUGCCUCACAUGAGGGAGUGGAAUAAAUACUGGAUGCUUCACAUUACAUGUGCUGCUGCAGUGUGGCGUUUUGCACCACAUGUAGAAUAACGCACACCUGAGCUGUGCUGUUGCCAGUUGCUGGCCUUGCUUUGUUAAAGGAUAAUUAAUUGAGCAGGUGAAAAGCAGCAUGUAUUGCAUGGACUCCUGUUUAUCACUCUGUGUGCUUAUUUAUAUGUACAUGAAGAGAAUUAUUUAUAAAACUGCUUAGAGGAUGAAUAUCAUUGCUGAAAAAUUCCAUACAUAAUACUAUUACAAUUCCAUGCUAUUUAAUUCAAUGCUCUUAAAAUUCCAUUAAAGCAUUUAAAUGUGCCUUUGUAUGUUCUGCCCAAUUAGGGUUUUAGUGAACAAUAUGCAAGCUCCUAUGAAAAGAAUAGGAUCUUCUGCUUUUAAAUGAUAACAUCCAUUGUGUGAGACCCUGAGGACUGAAUUCCCAACCUUGUGCGAUCCAUGAUGGAGAGUAUCCUAUUGAUGAGGGACAUUAUGCAAGCUAUGGGGGCAGUGAGCUUUUUGCACAUACCCAGAGUUUCCUUUUGUUGGAGCUGAGGAGAGUAUUUGAAGUCUGAGGCAACAGAAUUCAGUGAGAAACAGAUUAUGCUAUGAGAGAUAUCUUGCAUUUCCAGUGUAUUCUGAUCAUAGCUUUUUCAGCAAGAUGCUUCUGAUACGAACAGCAUGUUAUUUCUGGAGACAUUUCUGUUUCCAAAUUCCUGCUGUGACCUAACAAAUACUUUCAUGACAAAACUGGCUUUUCCAAGAUAUCUUCAAAGACUAAGGGGAUGUUAUCCAUUCCAGGAGCAUAUUUCUGCAAUGGAUGUUCAUAAAAUAAAGAAGAUUUUCUUUUUAAAAAGGGUUGGAGUUCCACUAACAUGUUUUUUGUGUUAUUGGAAAUAUCUAUUCCUAGACAUGUGAAAGUUUCAGAUCAAAAGCUCCUGGAUAUUAAGGGAUUUUUGAAGCUAGAAAUUCACUAAUAGGAGAGGCUUUUCUGUCUCUCAAGUAAAAGCUUGACUCUGGAGAAUAGGAUUAUUUGCUGUGGGAAUCACACAACAAAGUGUGUCUGAAUUGGCGCCUUGCUACUGUGGCAGAAGUGAAUGCACAUAUGUCAAAAUUGGAAAAACAGAUUUUAGCUGAAAACAGUCGAUAUAAACAGCCUCUUUAUGGUGUGGACAGCAGUACUCCACUGAACGAGUACCAAGAAGAGGAAAUAAUGCAGGAAGCUCACAAGGAAGGAAGGACUUGAAAACCUCAAUGCUGUCACUGGCCUGAGGUUACGUCUGUGCUGCACUUCAGGUGCAGCCAAAGUAGAAAUACCUGUAUAGAGUUUGGCAGCAUGAGUUCAGCUGUCUGGGCAGCCCUGGGUGUCCUCAGAAAGAGCGUUUGUGGAAUUUCCACUGUGGUACAAGUUGAUGUAGGCACACCUGUUAUGUCACAGUCCUUGCUUCCAGAUCACAAUUAAAGAAAGCUUUGGAAAGUGUAAUUCCCAAUAACAGGAACUCACACACAUUGUGUUCCAGAUCUAACUGUGCCAUUUGAAGAUUUUGCCACUUUCCAUCUUUGAUGCUGUGAUUGCUGCUGCCAUAGCUGCUGAUUAAAGGGUUUGUUUAAGAGCUCUUUAACUUGCUCCAGGCAAAAUGAACAGAGCUGAAUGGGUGGAAACAGUGGAAGCUAUCAGCAGAGGAGUGGGAAACAACUGGCAGAACAACCAUGUCAACCACUGGCACACCUGUCUGCAAACUCAGUGCCAGUGUAUGACUGCAUGUCCUGUGGGUAUUACAACUCUUCUGAACAUGUUCCUGCCUUUUCUGUUACACAUUCUUGGCUCAGCUCUCGUUUAUGCUAAGUACUUUUGUACGGCUCCCGCAUUGUAAAACAAUUUGAAAGUGCUCAAAGAUGUAAUUUACGCCCUUUUAUUUGAAAGUGUUAAAAAAGGUAAUUUAUACCCCUUGUAAAGCUUUCUUCAGAACAAUGUGAAAACUGUCUAAGGGGCGAAUAGCAAUGACUGUAAUCCUGCAGAAUUAAAUCCACAAUAUUUUCCCAGAACUUCAACCCCAAAUUCAGUAUACCCCUCAGCCAAAUGGCAGUCCACGUGAGGGCUUGGUAUCACGAUGAUUUUAUGCCACUGGAGAGAAGCUGGCGUGGAGCUGGUUGCAGCAUUCUUUCCCUGUUUGCACUUCUCACGCUCACUGUGUAUGUAUGUGACUCCUCUUAGUCCUCAACUUUGAUGGGUCCAGUUGCACAGAAACCUCUGAAGAGAGUUUUGUCUGCCUGGCUGUAAGCAGCUGUCCUCAUCACCGUCUUUCUAGGUUGUCCUUGCUGCCAUAGAGCCUUCCCCUCCACAGUACCACCACCUGUAUUCCUAUGGCUAUAGCUGUGGCUAGUUUUGCCUUAAAAAAUGCAUUCAAUUCCUUCUUAGUUCCGGCCCUCAUUUAAAGUGACCUUUCCCUUUUUUGCCUGCCAUCCUUCUCACUGAGAUCUUCCUGAUCCUUUUUGUCUGCCUUUGGUUAGGCCUCUGCUCUGAGUGUUGAUCAGCUCUUAAAGCCAUGGGAUCUCACCACGUGCCUGACUGAAAAAAUAGUGCCUUCUUGGUACUUCACAACUUUUUUUCUUUGAUGGCUCUCCUUAGCAGUCCGGUAUUUUACAGUCUGUAUCUCGGACAGAUGUGCUUCAUCAGAGAGUGAAUGAGCUGUGAAAGAUGCGCUCAAGGAGAGCACAAAGCUCCCAUUCUGGGUGUUUAAACAACAGCGCUCUCACUGUGGCUUUGAUCAGCGCCUGUUCAGUCAGGGUGCAGCCUCCUCCUCCUAACUUUCUGACUGCUGACUUCAGGUAAUCCGAUUUGGCCAUCUCUUUGUUACAAUAUCUGCUUUCCAUCUCUUGUUUAUCCAGGCAACCUGAUACACUUUAGCUUAUUUCUAAAUCUACCAGCAGGUCAGUGAUACUCUUACUUCAUCUUAAAUUAUCAAAGUUCAUAAAACAUCAUUUAAAAACAAAAACCAAAAAACAAAACAAAACAAAA